Molecule: ribosomal RNA, 482 nt
Filed under: uncultured bacterium
Lineage: Bacteria
Description: partial 16S ribosomal RNA
Rfam family: Bacterial small subunit ribosomal RNA
Source: RNAcentral
AUUGAACGCUGGCGGCAUGCCUUACACAUGCAAGUCGAACGGUAACAGGUCUUCGGAUGCUGACGAGUGGCGAACGGGUGAGUAAUACAUCGGAACGUGCCCGAUCGUGGGGGAUAACGAGGCGAAAGCUUUGCUAAUACCGCAUACGAUCUACGGAUGAAAUCGGGGGAUCUUCGGACCUCGCGCGGACGGAGCGGCCGAUGGCAGAUUAGGUAGUUGGUGGGAUAAAAGCUUACCAAGCCGACGAUCUGUAGCUGGUCUGAGAGGAUGAUCGGCCACACUGGGACUGAGACACGGCCCAGACUCCUACGGGAGGCAGCAGUGGGGAAUGUUGGACAAUGGGCGAAAGCCUGAUCCAGCCAUGCCGCGUGCAGGAUGAAGGCCUUCGGGUUGUAAACUGCUUUUGUACGGAACGAAAAGCCUCUUUCUAAUAAAGAGAGGUCAUGACGGUACCGUAAGAAUAAGCACCGGCUAACUACGUG